CCUACGGGAGGCAGCAGUGGGGAAUAUUGCUCAAUGGGGGAAACCCUGAUGCAGCAACGCCGCGUGAGUGAUGACGGUUUUCGGGUUGUAAACUCCUGUUUUCAGGGACGAUAAUGACGGUAUCUAACGAAGAAGCCACGGCUAACUCCGUGCCAGCAGCCGCGGUAAUACGUAGGUGGCGAGCGUUAUCCGGAUUCAUUGGGGUUAAAGGGGGCGUAGGCGGAGUGUAAAGUCAAUGGUAAAAUCGAUGGGCUUAACCCUUUCCCGCCAUUGAAACUGGCUCUAUUGAGUGGAAGAGAGGUAUGUGGAAUGCUUGGUGUAGGGGUGAAAUCCAUAGAGAUCAAGCGGAAUCCUGAUUGCGAAGGCGACAUGCCGGAACCCAACUGACGCUGAUGCGCGAAAGCGUGGGGAGUAAACAGGAUUAGAUACCCGAGUAGUC
Molecule: ribosomal RNA, 439 nt
Filed under: uncultured bacterium
Lineage: Bacteria
Description: partial 16S ribosomal RNA
Rfam family: Bacterial small subunit ribosomal RNA
Source: RNAcentral